Molecule: long non-coding RNA, 1895 nt
Organism: Odocoileus virginianus texanus
Lineage: Eukaryota; Metazoa; Chordata; Mammalia; Artiodactyla; Cervidae
Source: RefSeq, a predicted model, not a curated record
GCAGUAGCCCGUGGUGCUGGGAUCCGCUCGCGCCUAGGCGGGUGAGCCUCGAGGCUGGAUAGGACUGGAAACCUCAACCUACAUAAAACCUGCGCGACUGCGGGCCUCCCCACUUCGGAAAGGCGUUCGUCUUUGAAAGGGAAUCUAGAGUCACCGGAGCUGCGAUCACGUAGGGGCCUGUGUGUACCGAGUGCGUGCACCGCCUAGACAGUCCAAGGGGGUAAGCCCAACGGUCACGGAAAGAGACCCUUGUGGAGAAACGCCUGCCAGCGCCUGCGUGAAAAUCCUGCGGUUCGAUUCCAUACCCAAGGAACCGGAAGAAAAAAAAAAAAAGAUCCAGACUUCCAAACUUAAAUCAACAAAUCAAGUCUUCUGUUCACUUUCUAUUCGCAAAGCACUGCACAUAGCAGCUGCAUCAUGCACUGUUUCUGGGAUCUUAGUUACCCCACCAAGGAUUGAACCCCAGGCCCUCAGCAGUGAGAUCAUGAAAUCCUAACUACUGUACCAUCAGGGGAUUCCAUAUUCAACCUUUUGCAAAUGGUCUUAACUAUUUCCACAUGUCUGACAGCACAGCCUUUCAGGCAGAAGUCAACAGCCUCUAAGUGAAAAGCAAAUACAGUGAGUUUGGGAAUAGCACGGUGGCCCAAAUGAUUGGAGGAGGAUAAACUGGGAGGAGCAGUAGGACAUAAGGUCAGAGAAGACAGACAAGGGAAGAUUAUCCCUGCCUUUAUAAGACUUGUGGCUUUGACUCUGAGUGAACUGGGAAGCCAUGUGGGUUUUGAGUAGAAGAAUGACCUGAUCUGACAUGAACUGCUAGAUUCAGAAAAGACUGUAUUUAAUUCAGCUAUAUUGUUCUCUACAGAAGAAAGACUGUGGAAAUAGAAAACAUAAAGUCGAGUGGAAGAAAGAGCCUGAAGAGCAGGAAUCAGGGGUGUUUAUAUCCAAAAUUCUGGACACAUUUCCUCUAAGAUGAUGCAUGAAUAGGGGACGGUGAAAUAGCCCUUAAGAGUUAAUAAUUUUUAAAAAAAGAGUUUAUCAUAUGUGCUCUGCACCUGUGCUCCCCACUCAUAUGCCACCUCCUUCAUCUGAGUUCUUCCUUUGUACUGGGCACUGAUGAUGGCACAGCAGAUGCAGCCAUGAACCAGACAGACAUAUCCAGAGGAGAUGGAGAUUGCUGGAGGGGAGCAAAAUUUUUUACCCCAAAAUGUACCUCUUUCACAUGAGGAUUAAUUUAGGUUGAUUAUUUUUGUUCUUGUUACCUCCCCCUUAACUGCCUAAAAGAAUUUAGAUAAAAGGCCUGUUCCUAGAAUAGGGCCAUUAUGGGAAACGUCAGCAAAGAAUAUAGACUAGGUGUGAAACAGGAGGGAAGGGGGCAGGACACAAUUUUGAAAGAAUGACAUAGCGUGAGGACACAACAGACACCAGUUAGAAUCAAAUGGGUCCAAGAUGGCAGACAAGACAGUUCCAAGGCAUCAUCAAAGACCAAAAGGUGAGCAGGGGGCCCAAUUCCAGGAAAUCUCCACCCCUUCCCCAAAAUAGUUGGAAUAAUCCUCCCACUCAUUAGCCUAUGAAGUUACCCAGCCUAUAAAAACUAACCACACCACGUUUGGAGGACACUGCACUCGCCCUCUGUGAUGGCCCACACUCUGUCUAUGAAGUGUGUUUCUCUCUGAAUAAAUCUACUUCUUAACCUAUCACUUUAUCUCUCACUGAAUUCUUUCUACAAUGACACAUCGAGAACCUGAGGUUCAUUAUGGUAGGUUUUGGCUGGGUUCGAGUCCUAGCCAUGUGGCUUAGAGUCCCAAACUGGAUUUGAGCCAGGUUCAAGUCCCUACCAUGUAGGUUCAAGUCCUCAGUUCAAUUCAGUCAUUCAGUCAUGUGCAACUCUGUGACCA